RNAcentral lists this ribosomal RNA (546 nucleotides) under Fusarium circinatum. RNAcentral's name for it is "eukaryotic LSU rRNA". The stretch from base 191 to 344 matches the Rfam family "5.8S ribosomal RNA". The record is from RNAcentral. Lineage: Eukaryota; Fungi; Ascomycota; Sordariomycetes; Hypocreales; Nectriaceae.
CGUAACAAGGUCUCCGUUGGUGAACCAGCGGAGGGAUCAUUACCGAGUUUACAACUCCCAAACCCCUGUGAACAUACCAAUUGUUGCCUCGGCGGAUCAGCCCGCUCCCGGUAAAACGGGACGGCCCGCCAGAGGACCCCUAAACUCUGUUUCUAUAUGUAACUUCUGAGUAAAACCAUAAAUAAAUCAAAACUUUCAACAACGGAUCUCUUGGUUCUGGCAUCGAUGAAGAACGCAGCAAAAUGCGAUAAGUAAUGUGAAUUGCAGAAUUCAGUGAAUCAUCGAAUCUUUGAACGCACAUUGCGCCCGCCAGUAUUCUGGCGGGCAUGCCUGUUCGAGCGUCAUUUCAACCCUCAAGCCCAGCUUGGUGUUGGGACUCGCGAGUUAAAUCGCGUUCCCCAAAUUGAUUGGCGGUCACGUCGAGCUUCCAUAGCGUAGUAGUAAAACCCUCGUUACUGGUAAUCGUCGCGGCCACGCCGUUAAACCCCAACUUCUGAAUGUUGACCUCGGAUCAGGUAGGAAUACCCGCUGAACUUAAGCAUAUCA